CCCCGCCGCCUCGACCUCGCAGUGGUAGCGGCGCGAGCGAAGGGCCGUUGGGGCGAGACUCCAGAGCAGGGGAACUAACCAUUGCAAGCCUGAAUUCAUUCAUCCAACAGAUACUGAAUGAUGAUCUGCACAUCAGAAAAGGCCGCACAGUGAGGGGCAUUUAUAAAAAGGAUCCACUUCCUGGCUACAAAUCAUAACUGCUCUUAGCUGUGACCCCAAGACUGCACACAGUGAUGCCCUCAGUUCCAGAGUCACGCUCAAGGAAUUCUAGCAUUCCUGAGGAAAUCCAGCCACACCCCUGACUGGUAGACAACCUCGCACCAGCCCACAACACGUGCCCCAUUCUCCAGCUUCACAGGGCUAUGUGCUACUGCCACAGGUGCUUCCCAAAGCCAGGAAAAAUGUUCAGAGAUACAUUUUUUUUCCCCCACAGUAACAAGGCAGUCUCAACUUAAGUCCUACAAAGAAUCCUUCAGAAGCCCCAAAUCCCUUUGGAUAGGACUUCAUUAAUCCUCAAGUGGCCUUCUGGUUUUUGGACUCAGUCACUCACCCAGGGAGGGAUCCUCUCUGCCCCUGGCCUACUCUGCUUCGGGCACCAGCUUGCUUCAUAAAAGUUCUAGGCUGCCCCUGAGCCUCCACAAGUGCUCCUGAGCACGCCCUGGGCACACCGGCAAGUUCUCAGCCGCCAGAACCAAGAAGCUGGUAACCUUAUUGUGGGACAACACACUGAAGGCUCAUACUAUAAUACCAGUAUUUGUGACCUGAAUUUUCUGGGAUCCCCAGUGAAGGUGUGAUACAAUAAAUGACGGACAAGUCAUCUAUAAUGAAGGAUGGCCAGGUGACCACAAUAAACUCUGAUGCUGUGGUUUUCAA
Leopardus geoffroyi (Geoffroy's cat) is the source of this 873-nucleotide long non-coding RNA. RefSeq lists it as uncharacterized. The record is from RefSeq and is a predicted model, not a curated record. NCBI's taxonomy places the organism in Eukaryota, Metazoa, Chordata, Mammalia, Carnivora, Felidae. The transcript has 5 exons.